GACGAACGCUGGCGGCGUGCUUAACACAUGCAAGUCGAACGGAAAGGCCCUGCUUUUGUGGGGUGCUCGAGUGGCGAACGGGUGAGUAACACGUGAGUAACCUGCCCUUGACUUUGGGAUAACUUCAGGAAACUGGGGCUAAUACCGGAUAGGAGCUCCUGCUGCAUGGUGGGGGUUGGAAAGUUUCGGCGGUUGGGGAUGGACACGCGGCUUAUCAGCUUGUUGGUGGGGUAGUGGCUUACCAAGGCUUUGACGGGUAGCCGGCCUGAGAGGGUGACCGGCCACAUUGGGACUGAGAUACGGCCCAGACUCCUACGGGAGGCAGCAGUGGGGAAUAUUGCACAAUGGGCGGAAGCCUGAUGCAGCAACGCCGCGUGCGGGAUGACGGCCUUCGGGUUGUAAACCGCUUUCGCCUGUAACGAAGCGUGAGUGACGGUAAUGGGUAAAGAAGCACCGGCUAACUACGUG
This 468-nucleotide ribosomal RNA is filed under the name uncultured bacterium. RNAcentral's name for it is "partial 16S ribosomal RNA". It matches the Rfam family "Bacterial small subunit ribosomal RNA", at positions 28 to 507 of the family's 1533-position model. The record is from RNAcentral.